Molecule: ribosomal RNA, 380 nt
Filed under: uncultured eukaryote
Lineage: Eukaryota
Description: partial 18S ribosomal RNA
Rfam family: Eukaryotic small subunit ribosomal RNA
Source: RNAcentral
CAAUAGCGUAUAUUAAAGUUGUUGCGGUUAAAAGGCUCGUAGUUGGAGUUCUGCCAGGUGCCGCCUGUCCGCCCCAGUGGUGAGUACGUGGCGCGCAUUUGGCCCUUUCAAGGGGAGCGUAUCUGCACUUUAUUGUGUGGUGCGGGAUCCUUGACUUUUACUUUGAGGAAAUAGGAGUGUUCCAAGCAGGCUCUCGUCGUGCACAGCUCAGCAUGGAAUAAUAGCAUUGGACCUCGAUUCUAAGCUGUUGGUUGCCAGAAGCGAGGUAAUGAUGAAGAGGGAUAGUUGGGGGCAUUCGUAUUUAACUGUCGGAGGUGAAAUUCUUGGAUUUGUUAAAGACGGACUACUGCGAAAGCAUCUGCCAUGGAUGUUUUCAUUGA